RNAcentral lists this long non-coding RNA (3099 nucleotides) under Mus musculus (house mouse). RNAcentral's name for it is "long non-coding RNA chr1:164575454-164578553". The record is from RNAcentral. Lineage: Eukaryota; Metazoa; Chordata; Mammalia; Rodentia; Muridae.
AGAGAGAGAGAGAGAGAGAGAGAGAGAGAGGCUUUUUUCAAAUAAACCAUUUUUCAGAACAGAUAGCCCCCUUUCCUCCUAGACAAUGCAGAGGCUCAUGAAAACACCCUUCUGCAUCCAAUUAUCAUCCUGGGCAAUUUAAGUCCACUUUUUCUAUACCACUAGCAUUCUCUCCAGCCUCACACUGACUCUGGCUCUGCUGGCUAGCCACUCAAUCAUAUACCUGCUGUGUGUAGAUCUGUGCUUAGUCAUCAAAGGUGGGUGUUUGUGUAUAAGAGGAAAACAAAAGAGUCUAGCGAAACAGGACAUGCAUUCAAAGAGCUGCCAGGGACCUAGGACAGUACAGGACAAAAUGUUGGCUUGUGAGGACAAGGCCCUGGGUGCUUUAGGUGGAGAGAAGAGAUGAGGCAAAAGGGUUUGAGAUCACAGAAGACCCUGUGGCAGACCCUGUGGCACUUCCUUUAAAACUAUGGAUUGAACCUAACACCUUAAGCUUGCCAGGCAGGUGCACUGGCACUGAGCUACAUGCUGUUCCCAUGGCUUCACACUGCAUAAUUCUCAUUUGAUUUGUGGAUUAUGUUGCCUUUAUUAUUAUUUUUAAAUAAUUAACACUUAGGCUCUUUUCUUUCUAGGCCCACGCUUUUACUUUUCCUGGGAUAAUUUAAUUCUUUUUUCUACUUUCAUAUAAUACUGGCUUCUGGGGGCGUGGCUCAGGAGGAGAGCAUUUGUCAGGCAUGCUCAAAGACCCGAAUUCCAUUCCCAUCAUUGUAAUAAUGGCAAUAAUGCUAUGCCCUAAACUUUUCUGUAUAUCAUUAUUUUCAUAUAACAUAUUCAAUACAGCCUACCCAGUAUUUUAUCACAUAGAUUUACCAUUUUCUAACUAAAGCCAUAGUGUGUGUGUGUGUGUGUGUGUGUGUGUGUGUGAAAUCUGACAUUUGUUUGUGUCAUCCCUCGUCCUUACUCAAGCCCUUGCCAGUUGAGUUCCCACCCGUCCCAAUAUCCUCUGUUCUGUUUCUAUAUCACAGGAGUCUUAUCAUUCGCCCUUCUUCUUCUUCUUCUUCUUCUUUUCCUAUCUCUCAUGUUUCCUUUUAUAGUUUCAUGGCUUAUACAUACAUGCAUAACUGUGUCUGCCUAUGAGAGGACAUACGAUAUUUUUCUUUACUAAUGUAAUUUCCAGAUUCCUUCAUUUCCCUUGAAAUUUCGUAAUUUUAUGUUUUUUUGUUUUGUUUUGUUUUGUUUUAUAGCUGAAUAAAAUCCCAUUCUGUCUACGCCCCGAUCUUUCAUUAUCCGUUCAUCUGUUCAUGAGCAUCUAGGCUGGUUCCAUUUCCUUGCUGUGUGAAUAGAGAAGCAGUAAACAAUGUUGUGGGAUCUCUGUGGAAGGCUAUGAGGUCUUUUAUGUGACCCUUGAGGAGUGGGACAGCAGGGUCGGACAAGAGCUCCAUUUUAAACGUUUUUGAGAACCGCCAUGGUGAUUUCCAUAAUGGCUACGCCAGUUGCCCCUUGUCCCAGCAGUGAAUAAGGUUCACCCUUUCCCCAGACACUUGAUGUCCUUUAUUUUCUUGAUAAUAGCCACUUGGACUGGGGUGAGACAGAAUCUCAAAGCGGUUUUAAUUUGCAUUUCCCUGAAGUCCAGCCAGACUUAAAUAGCUAGUGCUGGGUUUCAGAUACAGCAAUGGAGGUUUUACUCUGUUCAUUUUCGAGGACUUAAAGGAUUGAAAGACACUGUCUCUCUAACGACUGAUGCUGAAGCUUAGGUUAAAGACACCACACAAGUGGGACAUGUAUUGUAAGAGGGGUGAGACGUGCAAUCAAUGUCUGUCCACGGCCAGAUAGAGAGUGUCACGAAUCCUUUCUCUAGCAGGCUGCUUUCAGAAGGCAAGAGAACCCAGUUGAACACUCUGGAUUAUUUUGAAAGCCUAGGCAAACAGCACAUUUGAGAACCGAAUCGGCCUCCGUUUGUUCAAGGGAUGGUGGGUGGCUUCAGCUGCCUAGGAAACAGGCUUUGAAUAUGUGCUUCCUGGAAUUCUCGAUGCUGCUCUCCUGAAAACGUUCCUCUGGUUGCUGAGGAUGGAUUCUUGCUAUUUGGCAUUUAUAGGCCCUGUGCUUUUGCUAAUUUUCCCUGGGAUUUGUAGGUUGUAUGUCUGUCUGUCUGUCUAUCUAUCUAUCUAUCUAUCUAAUCAGUAAGCUGUUGUAAAGUCCUGUGUCUCUUCAACACUAGGCCAACAUCCACCCUUCUCUCUGCUUCCUCCUCCUCUCUGCUCUCUGACCUUCUCCCUCCUACCAAACUUGUGCAGAUACCAAAAAAAAAAAAAAAAAAAAAAAAAAAAAAAAAAAAAAUCCGGUUUGAAAGCUAAAAUUCUAGCACAGUUAGUUGAAGCUUACACCCAGGUCCCUUGCUAUAGUGUAUCAGAUGCUACUUGGGAGAGUAAAUGGUACAUGUAGGUUGUAGGUGUUGCACUGGGGUAUUAGAGAAAAGGCAAACACAGAAUUCCUGGUUGAACUGUACCCUAAUGAAGGCCCAGCACAAGUUAACAUUGUACUAAAUGAGACAUAAAAGAGCAAAUACUCGCUCUGAGCUUUGGGAAAGAAAGGAGUCAGAAGUAGAAAGUCUUCAAGAACUUCAUUUUUUAUUAUUCUUUUAUUUUAUUUGUUCAUCAAAUCCUGAAUAUAUUUCAGUAUGGUUCACUUAUAAAAUUUAUCUUUCUCUGCAAAGAGUAACUGAGUAUUUGACCAGACUGAGAGAGCUGUAUCCCGUGGGAAAGUUAGAACUGCCUAUCUCGUUGGGCAAGAUGAACUAGCUAGAUACUGUUGGGAGCCUAAACGAAUAUUUAUUACAGGACGGUAUUCUCAUUAUAGGCCUUUUGGUUCAAUGUCUGCCAUGGUGGGUCAGCCAAGGUGAGCAGUGAUAGGAUCCCCGGGCAGGGAGAGUUUAUGUGGGGAUUCUGUCAGUUACAUUGUAUGUGCUCACACACACGUGCUGUGUGCCCACACAGAGUUUCCAUAUACAAGAAUCUUGAAAUCGUCUCUCAAGGCAAAUCAUAGAUAGUUGAGGGAAAAAAAAUACAAGAUAAUGUAAAACAGCUAAAUCUAUUCUAUUCU